Molecule: ribosomal RNA, 291 nt
Filed under: uncultured Anaerococcus sp.
Lineage: Bacteria; Bacillati; Bacillota; Tissierellia; Tissierellales; Peptoniphilaceae
Description: partial 16S ribosomal RNA
Rfam family: Bacterial small subunit ribosomal RNA
Source: RNAcentral
GUGUCAGCCGCCGCGGUAAUACGUAAGGACCGAGCGUUGUCCGGAAUCAUUGGGCGUAAAGGGUACGUAGGCGGGUUUUUAAGUUAGAAGUCGAAGGCUAUAGCUCAACUAUAGUAAGCUUCUAAAACUGGGGACCUUGAGUAAUGGAAGGGAAAGUGGAAUUCCUAGUGUAGCGGUGGAAUGCGCAGAUAUUAGGAGGAAUACCGGUGGCGAAGGCGACUUUCUGGCCAUUAACUGACGCUGAGGUGCGAAAGCGUGGGUAGCAAACAGGAUUAGAUACCCGGGUAGUCC